UAACGAGCGCAACCCUUGCCCUUAGUUACCAGCACGUUAUGGUGGGCACUCUAAGGAGACUGCCGGUGACAAACCGGAGGAAGGUGGGGAUGACGUCAAGUCAUCAUGGCCCUUACGGCCUGGGCUACACACGUGCUACAAUGGUCGGUACAAAGGGUUGCCAAGCCGCGAGGUGGAGCUAAUCCCAUAAAACCGAUCGUAGUCCGGAUCGCAGUCUGCAACUCGACUGCGUGAAGUCGGAAUCGCUAGUAAUCGUGAAUCAGAAUGUCACGGUGAAUACGUUCCCGGGCCUU
RNAcentral lists this ribosomal RNA (293 nucleotides) under uncultured Pseudomonas sp. Its description in RNAcentral is "partial 16S ribosomal RNA". It matches the Rfam family "Bacterial small subunit ribosomal RNA", at positions 1090 to 1382 of the family's 1533-position model. The record is from RNAcentral. Lineage: Bacteria; Pseudomonadati; Pseudomonadota; Gammaproteobacteria; Pseudomonadales; Pseudomonadaceae.